Molecule: ribosomal RNA, 1273 nt
Filed under: Microbacterium sp.
Lineage: Bacteria; Bacillati; Actinomycetota; Actinomycetes; Micrococcales; Microbacteriaceae
Description: bacterial SSU rRNA
Rfam family: Bacterial small subunit ribosomal RNA
Source: RNAcentral
UGGCUCAGGAUGAACGCUGGCGGCGUGCUUAACACAUGCAAGUCGAACGAUGAAGCCUAGCUUGCUGGGUGGAUUAGUGGCGAACGGGUGAGUAACACGUGAGCAACCUGCCCCUGACUCUGGGAUAAGCGCUGGAAACGGCGUCUAAUACUGGAUACGAACAAGAAUCGCAUGGUUACUUGUUGGAAAGAUUUUUCGGUUGGGGAUGGGCUCGCGGCCUAUCAGCUUGUUGGUGAGGUAAUGGCUCACCAAGGCGUCGACGGGUAGCCGGCCUGAGAGGGUGACCGGCCACACUGGGACUGAGACACGGCCCAGACUCCUACGGGAGGCAGCAGUGGGGAAUAUUGCACAAUGGGCGCAAGCCUGAUGCAGCAACGCCGCGUGAGGGAUGACGGCCUUCGGGUUGUAAACCUCUUUUAGCAGGGAAGAAGCGAGAGUGACGGUACCUGCAGAAAAAGCACCGGCUAACUACGUGCCAGCAGCCGCGGUAAUACGUAGGGUGCAAGCGUUAUCCGGAAUUAUUGGGCGUAAAGAGCUCGUAGGCGGUUUGUCGCGUCUGCUGUGAAAUCUGGGGGCUCAACCCCCAGCCUGCAGUGGGUACGGGCAGACUAGAGUGCGGUAGGGGAGAUUGGAAUUCCUGGUGUAGCGGUGGAAUGCGCAGAUAUCAGGAGGAACACCGAUGGCGAAGGCAGAUCUCUGGGCCGUAACUGACGCUGAGGAGCGAAAGGGUGGGGAGCAAACAGGCUUUGAUACCCUGGUAGUCCACCCCGUAAACGUUGGGAACUAGUUGUGGGGUCCAUUCCACGGAUUCCGUGACGCAGCUAACGCAUUAAGUUCCCCGCCUGGGGAGUACGGCCGCAAGGCUAAAACUCAAAGGAAUUGACGGGGACCCGCACAAGCGGCGGAGCAUGCGGAUUAAUUCGAUGCAACGCGAAGAACCUUACCAAGGCUUGACAUAUACGAGAACGGGCCAGAAAUGGUCAACUCUUUGGACACUCGUAAACAGGUGGUGCAUGGUUGUCGUCAGCUCGUGUCGUGAGAUGUUGGGUUAAGUCCCGCAACGAGCGCAACCCUCGUUCUAUGUUGCCAGCACGUAAUGGUGGGAACUCAUGGGAUACUGCCGGGGUCAACUCGGAGGAAGGUGGGGAUGACGUCAAAUCAUCAUGCCCCUUAUGUCUUGGGCUUCACGCAUGCUACAAUGGCCGGUACAAUGGGCUGCAAUACCGUGAGGUGGAGCGAAUCCCAAAAAGCCGGUCCCAGUUCGGAUUGAGGU